UGCCAUCCGCCGCGGUAAUACGGAGGGUGCAAACGUUGCUCGGAAUCAUUGGGCGUAAAGCGCGCGUAGGCGGCUUGGCAAGUUGGAUGUGAAAGCCCGGGGCUCAACCCCGGAAGUGCAUCCAAAACUGCCUCGCUUGAGUUCCAGAGGGGCCCAGAGAAUUCCCGGUGUAGAGGUGAAAUUCGUAGAUAUCGGGAGGAAUACCAGUGGCGAAGGCGCUGGGCUGGCUGGAUACUGACGCUGAGGUGCGAAAGCGUGGGGAGCAAACAGGAUUAGAUA
Molecule: ribosomal RNA, 279 nt
Filed under: uncultured bacterium
Lineage: Bacteria
Description: partial 16S ribosomal RNA
Rfam family: Bacterial small subunit ribosomal RNA
Source: RNAcentral